RNAcentral lists this long non-coding RNA (1960 nucleotides) under Pelobates cultripes (western spadefoot toad). Lineage: Eukaryota; Metazoa; Chordata; Amphibia; Anura; Pelobatidae. The record is from RNAcentral.
CUCCUUAUUUAUUGCCCGGUGCUCGGCUGCACAAAUGUAUAGCUUUUAGAAAAGAGUCAGCACUCAAGGACUUUCAAUGUGCUAAAAAAUGCAAAAAACCUUUUAAUCCAGUUGUUCAAAGAGGUCAACGUUUCAGUCCAUCGUCGUGGACUUUCAUCAGGACAUGUCCUGAUGAAAGUCCACGACGAUGGACUGAAACGUUGACCUCUUUGAACAACUGGAUUAAAAGGUUUUUUGCAUUUUUUAGCACAUUGAAAGUCCUUGAGUGCUGACUCUUUUCUAAAAGCUAUACAUUUGUGCAGCCGAGCACCGGGCAAUAAAUAAGGAGAGCUGGAGUGCAACUCCUAUCAUUCUUUGUAUAUAUAUAUAUAUAUAUAUAUAUAUCCAUCGGUUAAUGACACUGGAAGGUAUGGACAAUAAUAAUGCCUAUCUCCCAUUGGUACUUAACCUUUUAGCAAGGUAUGAUAUAUACAAUUUGGAAUCCCUGGCACCUUUAUGACUAGUUCCACUGCUCAUGCCACAACAAAGAAGAUGAAGCAGGAGUGGGAGAAGCCAAAGGAGUGAACUAUCCAUAUAGAUUGUCUUUCACCACCAACACUUAUUCCUGAUUUUUUAUGGACCCAGGGUUCCUUAUGCUUUACAAUAAGCUCCCAUCAUACAGCACACAAGAAGGGGGAGGAACCUGUUGUUUUUCCACUUCCCCCCAACAGUUAAGUUGGGGGGUUGAAAAGGUAGCUUUGUAGCUGACUUUCGGUUUAACUAUCAACAAUUUACAUUUGAAUCUCCUGUCACAUUUCAUUAGGCAUCAAACAAAAAGUCAGCACCUACAGGCUAUCAAGGUAUGUUCAAAAUGUCAUAAGAUACCUUAUUUCAAUUUAGAUUUAUUUGCCACAUUUCAAGUUAUAAAUAUUAUGACUAACAAUUUGCUUCAAGUAAUCAUCUUGAGCCUACCUAAGACCCACAAUUGUUAACUAAUUUCCCAAUAUAUAUCUCCCAAAUGGUUUAAGAGUUUCAUAGCUUGAUUCAUAGAGUACAUACUUGAGAACUUUCUUUAACCUUCUUAAAAAUUCUCCCAUCACUUCUUCAUUUUUUUUUUUACUUCAUCCAUUACCUUUUACCUGUCUCUGUCCCUGUCUACUUACAUAUACAGGCAUACUGACAUAUAUUCAUUGUUUGCUUGUUUUCCAAUUUGCAUUAGCAAUGAUAAAAGCACAACACAUCUUUGUGCUACUGUUUUGUAUGUUUAGGGAGUUUAAGUUAUUUGCUCUAUCCUUUAUCUAUUGUUACAUAGUUUGACAACAAUAUAAAAAAUAUAUAUUGUAAAUGUUGUCAAGCAUCUGUUUUGAGAUCUCUGCAUAAUCAUCAAUGUACAGUAGAACAAUUAUUUAAUAUAAUGAUAUGUUUUAUUUAAUUAACCAGAAGCCAUUAAAUUGCUUUAUUAGUAAAUAACCAUUUAAUCCUUUGAGGGCAAUUUAAGUGAGCAAACCAUGUAAAUACAUUGUAUUGCUUAAAACUCACGAAAUUAAAGGUCUUCUAAUCAAGUCACUUAAUUGAAUGUUCUGUUGAUACGAUUUUUAUAGAUAAAUCUGUUGUUAAAAGAGCUUUAGGAAUUGUUAGGAAUGGAAUAUUUGUUUCCCUAAAAAAGUAUUUUAUUUUCACUUUUUUGCAGGGUGCGUGAUAUUUUUUUCAUAAUAUUAAACUACUUUAAAUUGCCACAUUAAAAUUUUACAUGCUAUUUUAAAUCUUCAAACAUACUUAUACAGCAAUUGUGUUAUAUAGUUGUAAAAUGGCAUGAAUAAUUGAUGAUUUUUUUAAAUUGUACUUAAAAAGGCACACAGAGUUCUUGAUGGAAUUUAUUUUUACAAAUAUAAUUAUUCAAAAUAAGAGAAUGGAAAUAUUCUGUUAUUUGUGACCUUGUUAAAAACAAAUUAGAACAAAGUUAUCACCUGUGAAAAUUCUU